Molecule: ribosomal RNA, 133 nt
Filed under: Alternaria sp. OTU890
Lineage: Eukaryota; Fungi; Ascomycota; Dothideomycetes; Pleosporales; Pleosporaceae
Description: 5.8S ribosomal RNA
Rfam family: 5.8S ribosomal RNA
About the family: 5.8S ribosomal RNA (5.8S rRNA) is a component of the large subunit of the eukaryotic ribosome. It is transcribed by RNA polymerase I as part of the 45S precursor that also contains 18S and 28S rRNA.
Source: RNAcentral
AACUUUCAACAACGGAUCUCUUGGUUCUGGCAUCGAUGAAGAACGCAGCGAAAUGCGAAAAGUAGUGUGAAUUGCAGAAUUCAGUGAAUCAUCGAAUCUUUGAACGCACAUUGCGCCCCUUGGUAUUCCAUGG